UCGUACAGUAUACACACGACGGCCGUCAAAAGUAGCACAAUCAAUAUUUUCACGAUCAACUGCUGAUCUUCAACUUUCCCACGCCGCCACGCCAACUGACAGCAGCAGACAGUUAUUGGACACGACACACCCUGUGAUGAUUGCGAACAUGGCAGAUUUGAGAAAGUGCAGACUGUAACGUGUUACUUUGCUUUCAAAUUUGAUUGAGAGGAUAUCAGGAUGGGUGGCUGUUUCUCCAGCAACACAACAGCUGAAGGAGGCUCUACACAGCAAAGGACAAAGGUCAGAGUGAACCUCUUCAUGCCUGGAAGGAGAGGAGGAGGAGGAGGAGGGCAUGCCCCUAAGAAGUCUCCAAGAAAGGGAACCAAUACCCUCUGACGUGAGAUCCGAAAUCAGUAAAUCAUCAAUUUGAACCUCUGAACUGAUUUGAUGAACCGAACAAUGGAAUUAAUGUAACCACUCAGGGGGUUUAGACAUCUUGGUUAGUAUGGUGAAAACUGCAAACUUUGCUGAAAUAACCAAAUCUGAUUUUGUGAUCAUACUUCAUUCCUCAUCUGAAAAUACCCUCUAAUGUGAGAUACCAAAUCAAUUAGUGAUCAACUUGAAACAGCUGAACCAAAUUGAUGAGCUGAAAAAUCAGAUAAACCACUCAGGGGUUUAGACGUCUUGGUAUGGUGGAAACUUGAAACUUUGCUGAAAUAGCCAACUCUGAUUUUGUGAUCACUCUUCAAAUCAUUCCUCAUCUGACGCUACUUUUAACUGUUUGUCAUCACUACCGACUGCUACAUGUUUUUAAACUGAAGGAUAGUUUUGGGUUUGAACAAAGAAAAAAUGACUGUUGCAGGACAUUCAACCAAUGACAUUCCGGAUUAACGUACUGGUGCUCUUCCAACUGCAUGCAUCUUCAAAUAAAUCUGUCUGCUCCCACAAGGAAUUUCUUCGCUAUUCACAAACUCUAGUUCGAUGCCAUUUUGAUUGAAUAACAUCAGAAUCCAGGAAUGAAAUCAAAGUUUUCUUUAAAAAAAUGUACAGACCAUAAUUUUUGAAAUUAGACAUCAAAAGAUUUUUUGAUUUUGUCAAAAAUUGUGCUUGAAGGGGUAUACAAACGCAUUUACUCCAUUUUACUGGGAGGUUAAUUUUUUUGAAAAAUUUCAGAUGGACUCUCAGGCCUGGAAUAGACCGAUCCAUUAGGCUCCGCCCACGACGCACGUGUGAGCGGAGAUAAAGAUUUUCCACUGGAAGUGCCCUUUACCAAAUGAAAAUGGCCUGGCCCUUCUAAAGGCGAAAUUCCUUGCCUGGACUCUAUCUAUUGGAUUUGAAUUUGGAACCCCUCUUAAGUAAUGAAAAUACUGAUAAUGCAAUCUAAUGUGUCUUACUACUAAUGUUGGCCAGUCUAAAUUUGAGAGCGUUUGCAACUGCAGUUGUCUUUAGUUGAAAAGAGUUUUGAAUUUUAUAACUUUCCAUAGGGUUCAAUAUUGUUGAAUCCUACAAAUUUUACUUGACAAAAAUAUGAACAAAAGCAUUUACUUCAAAUAGCUUUACACAACAAAUUCUUCAAUUAAUUUAGGUUAUUGUACUUUUAAAAAAACCUUUUUUGAUACAUAAGUAACAAGACAUUAAGCAUCUGGGCAAGACACAAUGCAACAAACAUCUACCUUUUCAUCAUUUAUGUUUAAAACGGCUCUUCCAAGUUUUUUUUUUCUUCUUCCAGUGUUUUAUAGUGUGGGUUUGUGGCACACUCUUUUGAUAAAGAAAUUGUUGUUCAUAUUGUUUGUAAAGUAUAAAAUGUUAACUGUUAAUACUAAUAUUAUUUACUUAGCACUAUCAAUUUUGUCAUUUCCACUAAUUUAUUGUCUGUAAGUGAUGUGUAUUGCAGAUACUCAUGUAUUUAAUGUGUUACAAGUAGUAUUUGAUUAACAAAUUAAAGUUUAUUAAAGUUUAUUAUCUGAAAAUUUACUUUAAAUUUGUAAUUGACAAAGACCAGUAUUUGCAUAAAUUUAUAAUCUGAAAAAUUACUUUAAAUUUGUAAAUUUCAACGUCCAGUAUUUUCACUUUAUGUGACCCCAACAGUACAUGAAAUAACCAACCUGUGAAUAUUUCAGGUCAAUCGGUGAUCAGAGUCACAGGAGAAAGGUGACGACCUCUUGAAUAUCUUUUCACCGAACAUCGAAUUUUGGGUAUCGAAGAUCAAAUUAAGUAAAACUAAUUGUACUUACUAAAUUAUCAAAAACUAAACCAUUUCAGGGAAAAGAUAUUUCUGGGAAAGUAUUCAACUAUGACAUGACCAUCUCUAUACAUGCAAGUUGUGCAAAUCUGUAAAAAAAAAAAUAUGUCCACACCCUUUAAAUGAAAACAAACUUGUAAAUAA
Molecule: long non-coding RNA, 2368 nt
Organism: Asterias rubens (European starfish)
Lineage: Eukaryota; Metazoa; Echinodermata; Asteroidea; Forcipulatida; Asteriidae
Exons: 2
Source: RefSeq, a predicted model, not a curated record